GCGAAUGCUGACAUGAGUAGCGAUAAAGGGGGUGAAAAGCCCCCUCGCCGUAAGCCCAAGGUUUCCUACGCAACGUUCAUCGGCGUAGGGUGAGUCGGCCCCUAAGGCGAGGCAGAGAUGCGUAGCUGAUGGGAAGCAGGUUAAUAUUCCUGCACCAUUGUUAGAUGCGAUGGGGGGACGGAUCGCGGAAGGUUGUCCGGGUGUUGGAAGUCCCGGUCCUUGCAUUGGAGAAGGCACUUAGGCAAAUCCGGGUGCGGAAUUCAAGGGUGUGAGGCCAGUCGCUCAGGCGACGAAGCAAUCGGAAGUGGUUCCAAGAAAAGCCUCUAAGCUUCAGUCUAACAAGACCGUACCGCAAACCGACACAGGUGGGCGAGAUGAGUAUUCUAAGGCGCUUGAGAGAACUCGGGAGAAGGAACUCGGCAAAUUGGUACCGUAACUUCGGGAUAAGGUACGCCCUGGUAGCUUGAUCGGCUCGCGCCGAGAGGGUGAAAGGGUUGCAAUAAACUGGUGGCUGCGACUGUUUAAUAAAAACACAGCACUCUGCAAACACGAAAGUGGACGUAUAGGGUGUGACGCCUGCCCGGUGCCGGAAGAUUAAAUGAUGGGGUGCAAGCUCUUGAUUGAAGUCCCGGUAAACGGCGGCCGUAACUAUAACGGUCCUAAGGUAGCGAAAUUCCUUGUCGGGUAAGUUCCGACCUGCACGAAUGGCGUAACGAUGGCCACACUGUCUCCUCCCGAGACUCAGCGAAGUUGAAGUGUUUGU
This 763-nucleotide ribosomal RNA is filed under the name Robbsia betulipollinis. Its description in RNAcentral is "partial 23S ribosomal RNA". It matches the Rfam family "Bacterial large subunit ribosomal RNA", at positions 1290 to 2054 of the family's 2925-position model. Lineage: Bacteria; Pseudomonadati; Pseudomonadota; Betaproteobacteria; Burkholderiales; Burkholderiaceae. The record is from RNAcentral.